Molecule: ribosomal RNA, 460 nt
Filed under: uncultured bacterium
Lineage: Bacteria
Description: partial 16S ribosomal RNA
Rfam family: Bacterial small subunit ribosomal RNA
Source: RNAcentral
CCUACGGGGGGCAGCAGUGAGGAAUAUUGGUCAAUGGACGAGAGUCUGAACCAGCCAAGUAGCGUGAAGGAUGACUGCCCUAUGGGUUGUAAACUUCUUUUAUAUGGGAAUAAAAUGUUCCACGUGUGGGAUUUUGUAUGUACCAUAUGAAUAAGGAUCGGCUAACUCCGUGCCAGCAGCCGCGGUAAUACGGAGGAUCCGAGCGUUAUCCGGAUUUAUUGGGUUUAAAGGGAGCGUAGGUGGAUUGUUAAGUCAGUUGUGAAAGUUUGCGGCUCAACCGGAAAAUUGCAGUUGAAACUGGCAGUCUUGAGUACAGUAGAGGUGGGCGGAAUUCGUGGUGUAGCGGUGAAAUGCUUAGAUAUCACGAAGAACUCCGAUUGCGAAGGCAGUUCACUGGACUGCAACUGACACUGAGGCUCGAAAGUGUGGGUAUCAAACAGGAUUAGAUACCCUAGUAGUC